This 497-nucleotide ribosomal RNA is filed under the name uncultured bacterium. Its description in RNAcentral is "partial 16S ribosomal RNA". It matches the Rfam family "Bacterial small subunit ribosomal RNA", at positions 28 to 507 of the family's 1533-position model. The record is from RNAcentral.
GAUGAACGCUGGCGGCGUGCCUAAUACAUGCAAGUCGAGCGAACAGACGAGGAGCUUGCUCCUCUGACGUUAGCGGCGGACGGGUGAGUAACACGUGGAUAACCUACCUAUAAGACUGGGAUAACUUCGGGAAACCGGAGCUAAUACCGGAUAAUAUAUUGAACCGCAUGGUUCAAUAGUGAAAGACGGUUUUGCUGUCACUUAUAGAUGGAUCCGCGCCGCAUUAGCUAGUUGGUAAGGUAACGGCUUACCAAGGCAACGAUGCGUAGCCGACCUGAGAGGGUGAUCGGCCACACUGCAACUGAGACACGGUCCAGACUCCUACGGGAGGCAGCGGUAGGGAAUCUUCCGCAAUGGGCGAAAGCCUGACGGAGCAACGCCGCGUGAGUGAUGAAGGUCUUCGGAUCGUAAAACUCUGUUAUUAGGGAAGAACAAAUGUGUAAGUAACUAUGCACGUCUUGACGGUACCUAAUCAGAAAGCCACGGCUAACUACGUG